RNAcentral lists this ribosomal RNA (263 nucleotides) under uncultured bacterium. RNAcentral's name for it is "partial 16S ribosomal RNA". It matches the Rfam family "Bacterial small subunit ribosomal RNA", at positions 333 to 610 of the family's 1533-position model. The record is from RNAcentral.
UUGGUCCUACGGGGCGCAGCAGUAGGGAAUAUUGGGCAAUGGGCGCAAGCCUGACCCAGCAACGCCGCGUGAAGGAAGAAGGCUUUCGGGUUGUAAACUUCUUUUAUCAGGGACGAAGCAAGUGACGGUACCUGAUGAAUAAGCCACGGCUAACUACGUGCCAGCAGCCGCGGUAAUACGUAGGUGGCAAGCGUUAUCCGGAUUUACUGGGUGUACAGGGCGUGUAGGCGGGAGUGCAAGUCAGAUGUGAAAAAUAUGGGCUC